RNAcentral lists this ribosomal RNA (444 nucleotides) under uncultured bacterium. RNAcentral describes it as "SSU rRNA". It matches the Rfam family "Bacterial small subunit ribosomal RNA", at positions 26 to 518 of the family's 1533-position model. The record is from RNAcentral.
AGAACGAACGCUGGCGGCAGGCUUAACACAUGCAAGUCGAGCGCCCAGCAAUGGGAGCGGCGGACGGGUGAGUAACACGUGGGAACAUGCCCUUUGGUACGGGACAACUCAGGGAAACUUGAGCUAAUACCGUAUGAGCCGGUAACGGGAAAGAUUUAUCGCCAAAGGAAUGGCCCGCGUCCGAUUAGCUAGUUGGUGAGGUAAUGGCUCACCAAGGCACCGAUCGGUAGCUGGUUUGAGAGAACGACCAGCCACACUGGGACUGAGACACGGCCCAGACUCCUACGGGAGGCAGCAGUAGGGAAUCUUGGACAAUGGGGGCAACCCUGAUCCAGCCAUGCCGCGUGAGUGAUGAAGGCCUUCGGGUUGUAAAACUCUUUCGACGGGGACGAUAAUGACGGUACCCGUAGAAGAAGCUCCGGCUAACUUCGUGCCAGCAGCCGC